AACGAACGCUGGCGGUAUGCCUAACACAUGCAAGUCGAACGACACCUCCGGGUCUAGUGGCGCACGGGUGCGUAACGCGUGGGAACCUGCCAUUAGAUUCGGAAUUACUCCCUGAAGGGGGUGCUAAUACCGGAUAAUAUCCUCGGACCAAAGAUUUAUCGCCUUUGGAUGGGCCGGCGUUGGAUUAGCAUGUGGGUAGGGUAAAAGCGUACCAAGGCGACGAUCCAUAGCUGGUCUGAGAGACAGAGCAGCCACACUGGGACUGAGACACGGUCGAGACUACUGGGCGAGGGGGCAGUGGGGGAUAUUGGAAUAUGGGGGGGAGGCUGAUCCAGCAAGGGCGGGUGAGUGAUGAAGUCGUUAGAGUUAUAAAGCUGUUUAACACGGGAUGAUAAUGACGGUACCGGGAGAAUAAGCACCGGCUAACUUCGUG
This 433-nucleotide ribosomal RNA is filed under the name uncultured bacterium. Its description in RNAcentral is "partial 16S ribosomal RNA". It matches the Rfam family "Bacterial small subunit ribosomal RNA", at positions 29 to 507 of the family's 1533-position model. The record is from RNAcentral.